CCUACGGGGGGCUGCAGUGGGGAAUAUUGGACAAUGGGGGCAACCCUGAUCCAGCCAUGCCGCGUGUGUGAAGAAGGCCCUCGGGUUGUAAAGCACUUUCAGUGAGGAAGAACGCCUGGUGGUUAAUACCCAUCAGGAAAGACAUCACUCACAGAAGAAGCACCGGCUAAUUCCGUGCCAGCAGCCGCGGUAAUACGGAGGGUGCGAGCGUUAAUCGGAAUUACUGGGCGUAAAGCGCGCGUAGGUGGCUUGAUAAGCCGGUUGUGAAAGCCCCGGGCUCAACCUGGGAACGGCAUCCGGAACUGUCAAGCUAGAGUGCAGGAGAGGAAGGUAGAAUUCCCGGUGUAGCGGUGAAAUGCGUAGAGAUCGGGAGGAAUACCAGUGGCGAAGGCGGCCUUCUGGACUGACACUGACACUGAGGUGCGAAAGCGUGGGUAGCAAACAGGAUUAGAUACCCCUGUAGUC
RNAcentral lists this ribosomal RNA (465 nucleotides) under Vreelandella stevensii. Its description in RNAcentral is "partial 16S ribosomal RNA". It matches the Rfam family "Bacterial small subunit ribosomal RNA", at positions 338 to 795 of the family's 1533-position model. Lineage: Bacteria; Pseudomonadati; Pseudomonadota; Gammaproteobacteria; Oceanospirillales; Halomonadaceae. The record is from RNAcentral.